RNAcentral lists this non-coding RNA (707 nucleotides) under Gyrodactylus parvae. Lineage: Eukaryota; Metazoa; Platyhelminthes; Monogenea; Gyrodactylidea; Gyrodactylidae. The record is from RNAcentral.
AAAGUGGUUUAAUUUUAGCCAUAUAAAUACUUUAAAGAAUCCACAUAUUUUUAUUAAAUCAUAUAAAACAGCAUAAUAGUAGUUGUUAAUUUAGUGGAUAGAUUUUAUGUUUCUAACUAUUAGAGCUAAGUUCUUUAUAAUUAUCUAGGAAAAGUCACAGUGCCAGCAUCCGCGGUUAUUCUGUUUAGUAUUAUUUAAAAAUAUAUAAAUAAGGUUAAUUCUUAUAUUAUAUUAGUAGAAUAUCAAUAAUAUAACAAUUUAUUAGCCUGAUAUUAUAAUAAAUAAGUUUUUAAGAAUGAGAUUAGAUACCUCAGUAUUACUUAUAUAAUAACUUUUAGUUAAACUAAAGAAAUUUGGCAGUCUUUUAUUCUCUACUGGGGGUUGUGUGUGUUAAAGGAUGAUCCACCAAUUAACUUACCUUUGUUUUAUGUAGGUGUACGUCUGACUUAAUACUAAUAUAAAGAUAUAUUAGUGAAUAUAAAUCAUUAAUUUAAGUCAAGUCUAUGUGCCACUAUAUAUAGGUUCACAUGCUACACAUUUAUAAUUUAAUUGUUGUAAUUACUAUUAUAAUUUAGGACUAGUAAGUAUAUAUAUUUAAAUAGGUAUAUAUAAUAGAGUUUAAUAGAGGUACAUACCGCCCGUCAAUCUCGGUUCUCACUGAGAUAAGUCGUAACAUGGCAGCCUAUGGGGAACCAGAGGCUUGUAAA